GGGCGCUUAGCUCAGACUGGUCAGAGCACCUCCCUUACAAGGAGGGGGUCGGGGGUUCGAGUCCCUCAGCGCCCACCA
RNAcentral lists this transfer RNA (78 nucleotides) under Actinomycetota bacterium. RNAcentral describes it as "tRNA-Val". It matches the Rfam family "tRNA". Rfam says of the family: Transfer RNA (tRNA) molecules are approximately 80 nucleotides in length. Their secondary structure includes four short double-helical elements and three loops (D, anti-codon, and T loops). The record is from RNAcentral. Lineage: Bacteria; Bacillati; Actinomycetota.